AUUGAACGCUGGCGGAAUGCUUUACACAUGCAAGUCGAACGGCAGCACGGACUUCGGUCUGGUGGCGAGUGGCGAACGGGGGAGUAAUGUAUCGGAACGUGCCCAGACGUGGGGGAUAACGUAGGGAAAAUUACGCUAAUACCGCAUACGAUCUAUGGAUGAAAGCGGGGGAUCGCAAGACCUCGCGCGAUUGGAGCGGCCGAUAUCAGAUUAGGUAGUUGGUGGGGUAAAGGCCUACCAAGCCAACGAUCUGUAGCUGGUCUGAGAGGACGACCAGCCACACUGGAACUGAGACACGGUACAGACUCCUACGGGAGUCAGCAGUGGGGAAUUUUGGACAAGGGGCGAAAGCCUGAUCCAGCCAUUCCGCGUGCAGGAUGAAGGCCCUCGGGUUGUAAACUGCUUUUGUACAGAACGAAAAGGUUUCUACUAAUACUAGGAGCUCAUGACGGUACUGUAAGGAUAAGCACCGGCUAACUACGUGCCAGCCGCCGCGGUAA
RNAcentral lists this ribosomal RNA (500 nucleotides) under uncultured bacterium. Its description in RNAcentral is "partial 16S ribosomal RNA". It matches the Rfam family "Bacterial small subunit ribosomal RNA", at positions 30 to 523 of the family's 1533-position model. The record is from RNAcentral.